GACGAACGCUGGCGGCGUGCUUAACACAUGCAAGUCGAACGGAAAGGCCCUGCUUUUGUGGGGUGCUCGAGUGGCGAACGGGUGAGUAACACGUGAGUAACCUGCCCUUGACUUUGGGAUAACUUCAGGAAACUGGGGCUAAUACCGGAUAGGAGCUCCUGCUGCAUGGUGGGGGUUGGAACGUUUCGGCGGUUGGGGAUGGACUCGCGGCUUAUCAGCUUGUUGGUGGGGUAGUGGCUUACCAAGGCUUUGACGGGUAGCCGGCCUGAGAGGGUGACCUGCCACAUUGGGACUGAGAUACGGCCCAGACUCCUACGGGAGGCAGCAGUGGGGAAUAUUGCACAAUGGGCGGAAGCCUGAUGCAGCAACGCCGCGUGCGGGAUGACGGCCUUCGGGUUGUAAACCGCUUUCGCCUGUGACGAAGCGUGAGUGACGGUAAUGGGUAAAGAAGCACCGGCUAACUACGUG
This 468-nucleotide ribosomal RNA is filed under the name uncultured bacterium. RNAcentral describes it as "partial 16S ribosomal RNA". It matches the Rfam family "Bacterial small subunit ribosomal RNA", at positions 28 to 507 of the family's 1533-position model. The record is from RNAcentral.